UUAAAGUGGUACGUGAGCUGGGUUUAGAACGUCGUGAGACAGUUCGGUCCCUAUCUGCCGUGGGUGUUGGAGAAUUGAGAGGAGCUGCCCUUAGUACGAGAGGACCGGGGUGGACGUACCUCUGGUGUACCGGUUGUGACGCCAGUCGCAGCGCCGGGUAGCUAAGUACGGACGGGAUAACCGCUGAAAGCAUCUAAGCGGGAAGCCUCCCUCAAGACGGGUUCUCCCUUGAGAGUCGUGGAAGACCACCACGUUGAUAGGCCGGGUGUGGAAGCGCAGUAAUGUGUGAAGCUAACAGGUCCUAAUCACUCGAUUGGCUUGAUUGCUCUCG
Molecule: ribosomal RNA, 331 nt
Filed under: Rhodospirillaceae bacterium
Lineage: Bacteria; Pseudomonadati; Pseudomonadota; Alphaproteobacteria; Rhodospirillales; Rhodospirillaceae
Description: bacterial LSU rRNA
Rfam family: Bacterial large subunit ribosomal RNA
Source: RNAcentral